ACCGCUUGGGAGGCGGUUCCUUGCAUCCGACUUGCAGGGGGGAAAAUCCUCAAACAUUCCAGCUAUCGUGGGAUAGAACCUUCUCUACCUCAAUUUAAACUCAAACUUAUAUAUAGUGAAACUGUGUUUACACGGCGCUUUAGAAAUAAGUGUAAUUUGGACUGGCUUUCUGACAAACUACUCGAAAAACAUGAACUGGAACUGUGCAGUCUUGGCCCCUUGACUGUUUGCACCCAGAGACUCAAGGCAGCAUGUCUCCUGUGUCUUCACCUAAAUAUUCAUCAGGCUCAUCACUCCUCACUCAGUACGGGCCUUUUGACCAAACCCUGAGCUACAACCGCACUCAGGUCCUCUCCUCCAGCAGGUAUGGCGCUCCCACGUCUCGAUACCUCGGGGCCAGCCCCUGUCAGGCCCGAGCACAUCACUACCCUCGGGAGAUGGAGAAGGGCCGGCCUGACCCUCAGCUGGACUUCAGGGUUCGCCACUGCGAUGUCUCCAGCAGGGCCCAGGUCAGAGGUCAGGGCCUCCAGCCAAACGUGGUGAGGGGACGCUCCACGUCCCGGCCUGUGCACCCACCGGCAUCGCCCCUGUCUUUGCGCCGCCGGUCAGUUAGCUACUCAGAUCUCGCCCAGGAGCUGGUGCUGCUGGACAUCAACGACACCCCAUCACCGCCUCCCAGGCAGCACAGAGUAGGACGAGACGGGGCAGAGAGGAACAGCAGAAUUCUCCUCAGGAACUCAGAGAACUCCAAGAAUGCUCAGGGUCUGGUUGGCUUGAGGAAUCUUGGCAACACGUGCUUCAUGAACUCCAUCCUGCAGUGUCUGAGCAACACCCACGACCUGCGAGACUACUGCCUCCGAAACUGCCACCUCACAGACCUCAACAAAAGCUGCCGGGCCAAGGUUGCUCUCAUGGACGAGUUCGCCAAACUGACUCAGACCCUCUGGACGUCGGCCGGCAAUGAGGCGAUUAGCCCGUCCGACUUCAAAACGCAGAUCCAGAAGUACGCUCCUCGCUUCGUAGGAUACAAUCAGCAGGAUGCUCAGGAGUUUUUGCGCUUUCUGCUCGAUGGCCUUCACAACGAGGUGAACCGAGUAGUUGGCCGGCCGCGGAUCCCGGUGGAGGACUUUGACCACCUCUCAGAUGAGGAGAAAGGGGAACGCAUGUGGAACAAGUAUCUGGAGAGGGAGGACAGCAAAGUAGUUGAUCUGUUUGUUGGACAGCUGAAGAGCUCAUUGACUUGCAAUGAGUGUGGCUUCUGCUCCACAGUGUUCGAUCCAUUCUGGGAUCUAUCACUCCCUAUCCCCAAGAAGAGCUCUGGUGAGGUGACUUUGACGGACUGCAUCAAACUUUUCACCAAAGAGGAUGUGCUUGAUGGAGAUGAGAAACCGAUCUGCCAGAGAUGCAAAUCCAGAAGAAAAUGCACAAAGAAAUUCACCAUCCAGAAAUUCCCCAAAAUCCUUGUGCUUCACUUGAAACGCUUCUCUGAGCCUGGACGUGUGAAGACUAGCAAGCUUUCCACAUUUGUCAACUUCCCUCUCAAAGAGCUGGACCUCAGGGAUUUUGCAUCCGAGAACAGCGCAACAGCUAUCUACAAUCUGUAUGCAGUAUCUAAUCACAUAGGCACAACCCUGGGUGGGCAUUACACAGCAUACUGCCGUAACCCAGCCCUUGGGGAAUGGUACUCAUAUAAUGACUCAAGGGUGAACCCCAUGUCUUCCAGUCAGGUGCGCAGCAGUGACGCCUACGUGCUCUUCUACGAACUCGCAACCUCAUCGCGCAUGUGAUCAGGCCCACUAGGCUGGGCCCUGCAGCUCGGAACUGAAUGACUGACCCCCUCCAGGGCGACCAGCUAGCAUUGGAGCCAUCAUCUCCACCUAGCACAGCCUAGGCCCAAGCUAUAGACUGAAACUGUGGACUCCAGCUACAGUUUGGCAUUAUGGUGGAACACGGGACUCAGAGAACUUCACAAGAGAGCUCAUGCUCUAGGACUCAAAAACACAGCCAAGCAACAGUGUCUUAGGGGCAUAAAGACUGUGCUGUGGCUGGGGACUUCACUGAAGCUAAUGCCCAUAGGUGGAACUACUUGACAGGGCCACGUCUCUCCCCUCUCUUACACUCCUAGUGACUCUGGUACAGAGGGUGGCGGGGACAAACCCAUUUGUUUCACCUGGGACAUGAGGGCAACUGGUCUUGGCCACAGCUCUACGAGCUGAACGAGCAGGUCAACAAAUGUGUGUGUGUGUGUGUGUGUGUGUGUGUGUGUUUGUGUGUGUGUGUGUGUGUGUGUGUGUGUGUGCGUGUGUGUGUGUGUGUGUGCUUGUGUGUGUGUGCGUGCGUGUGUGUGUGCGCGCGAAUGUCUGCACGCGAAUGUGUGCACUGCCCCGCUGUGACAGUUUACAAGUUCUCUAUAAACGUCCUUCCCCCAAAACAAAGUGGGGGUGGAAAACAUUGCUCGGCACCUGGUUUAGGUGCUUCUGAUAUCAGUAUAGUCAGCCUCCAUUACAGAGGCCUCUCUUAAAAUUGCUGUGCAGCCUCCUGACCACAGGGGGGCGACGUGGUGUGUAGACCUAUCUGUUUACAUCAUGCACAGGAGGCAUGCUCCAGGGUUGGUGGCGUGGCGUGGUUGAAGGGUGGGGUAUGGUGUGGUUCUAGGCGGAGGUAUUCAAGUUGGUGUCUCCAGGCUACUCAGUGACGAGAGUGGUAGGUGUGUGUGAAUCUGGCCCUCCAACACUGGGGCCUACUGCUCGAGCCGCGUGAAAUGCCCUGGGGCAUUACUAUGGAAAUCAUUUUGAGCAAUAACACUGGCUUUUUUUUAGGGCAGAAGGGGGUAGAUUAGCGUUCCCAGCAUGCAAGAAGGACUGAACAGCUGCAUGCUGCUCCGCAGAAACACAAACGCACUUAUAUUUAUAGGAACAGAUUAUAUAUGACAAAAUAUGAAGACUCUGUUGGCAGGCAGGAACCCUUUGUCACUCGUAGCUUUUUAGCCUCUGUGGACAGAAGUGUUUAGUUUAUUUUGCCACAGACUGUCCAGACCUGAAAGCUCCUUUGCCAUGUCUGUCAUGAGUAAAAAACCAGCGCUGACAUAUCACUGCGGCCCAAUCACGGUCCUCAGAUUGGUCCAGUUUGAACCAACCAAGGCAGAUUUCUUUCUUUCGGAGUCUCUCAUCAUGUGAAAAUGGCACUUGGUUGAGGUGCAGGUCUGUGUGCAGGAUGUGGCUUUUCAGUUUGUAGCUGGUGGUUGAAGUAAGGUGCUGACCAUUUUCAUAGUCUUUCAUCAGAGUUUGGUGAGCCUUGGGUGGUGGACCCAGACUGAAGCCAGGUUUAGCGUUAGCUUUGAACAUUAGCAUGGAACUCAGUGCGCACAUCUCAGAGAUCAUUUCACAGGGCUCUCGACACAUAGAAUAAAAUAUAUUUCAUAUGUUUUUAGCAAAUGCGUAUUAUAGUUUUUACUACACCUUUUAUGAAACUUUUGAGUAGAUUAAUUCCAUGAAUGCUAUCACAAGCUCUUGAAUUUUAAGGUAUUGAAUUGCUCUUAGAAAUACAUAUAAGUCUGUUCACUGAUAAUAUUUUAAGAUCUUAUAAAUAUGAAGAAAAACUGGACCUAAAAAAGCUGCCUUCAGCUGUGUGUGUGUGUGUGUGUGUGUGUGUAUUUGAGUGAGUGUGUUUGAAUUCAUGUGCACAUGAGUGUGUGUGUGUGUAUAUGUGGGUGGGUGUGUAGGUGGAUGAGUUUGUCUGAGGCCUGAGAGGGCAAGAUGUCAUAGACGUCACUUUAAGCUUUCCUCUUCAUGUGGGGAAAAUAUCCCCCCACGAUUUCCUGACCUGUGAACUAUGCACAGACCUCCUGUCGGCAAUGCCGUCAUGACACCGAAACAUCCCCCAGUCCUCCCAUCGCCCAACACUAGUCCUCUGAGCGAUCCCCCAGUCUCUCCCGUCGCCCAACACUAGUCCUCUGAGCGAUCCCCCAGUCCUCCCGUCGCCCAACACUAGUCCUCUGAGCGAUCCCCCAGUCCUCCCGUCGCCCAACACUAGUCCUCCCGUCGCUGUCCGAGUGGUCAGCAGCGCCAGUCUCUCUGCUGGACGUCUGGUCCAGUUGGUCCAGCGUCGGGUGCGUUGGAAGCCCCGUGGGCCUCCCUUUAGAUUAGUCUGUUUGUGUCCUUUGACCGAGCGGGUAGUUAGUCUUUGUUUGGCGGCCCCAUGAAUCUACUGUAUGCCCCCCCACCCCCUCGUCUGUGUCGGUGUACCCCGUCCCGCUGGCUUCUGUCCAGAGCGCUGCAUUGUGGUACGGCUGAGCUGGGCUGAAUGGGUGCCCUCUGAAUGAGUUUACUCUGUCCCCCCUUUGUUUGGCGCGACAGCAGCGAACCCUCUGGAAACAUUUCCCUCUCGCCCCCGUGAGCGCUCUCAUGCCACCCGCUUCCUCCGUCUCUUGUCUGCGGGUUUUAGACAGCGCCGGUUGGCAGCAGGGGUGGGGGGUUGUGAGCGAGAUGGCAUUGCCAAGAGACCACGUCUCCCUGAUUUCGGAGGGUGUGUGUGGGGUGGGGUAGGAUGGGGUGGGGGGUAGAAACGGCAUAAUUUGGGUAGACUUGGGGUGUUGGAACGCCUGUCCAUUUUUGACGGGACAUGUAGUCAGUCAGAGGGUGUUUUUUCUUUCCAAGGGAAAUUGUGAUCAGUGGACAACGACAGGCUGGCAUAUUGGCUUCCUCACACGUGCUGAUACCGUAGGCUUGCGUCUGCUUACCCUCCGAUUCUUUAACACUGGUGGGUCACAUGUCCAUCGUAGUUGGCAUUACUUUCUAGGGGUCAAAGUUCAGCAUGUAAUUUGGAGACUUUGCACCCAGACAGAGUUGCUUCUGAGGAGUGAGAUGUCAUAGCAUGCAAACACAUAUCCAGAUAAUCAUUUUUAUUGUCGUUAGUUAUUAAUUUUUUUUAACAGUAAUAUAUAAAGUCUUAUGUUUAGUCUCACUAGAGGCAUCCUCUCUUUGCUCAGGGUAUGGUGAAGAAGAUGUUAACACUUGUUUGUUUCUCCUAGAGAUUUAUUUUUUGAAAAAAGUUGAAACUGUGAGUAUAAGAUGAAGAAGAAAAAAAGAAACCUGAAACUUAAAAUACCUGGAAUGACACUAUUGUAUAUUUUGUUUUUCUCUUCUGUUUUCUCUUAUUUGGGAUGAAAGCAUUCUGACAUGGCUUGUGAUAUUGCAGCCUUAAAGGGUUGGUAGACCAAAGAUUGUCAGGCACUUUAAUCAAUAAUCAUCAAAAAAAGUAAACAAAAGUGAACAGAAUUUCACAAACGAGGACGAUGGUGAAAAAUGUCCCUCUCGUUUUAAUUUGUCUCACUCCCUACACAAUCUCAUCACCGCCGCAUUCGCCCGUGGCAAAGACGAACUCCCAACGUCUUGCAUCUUAUCAGAAAGAAAUGGAGAAGCGGUGGUAGAUGGGGCUAGUGUACUUGGGGACUUGUUGCCCCUCUGCAGUUUGGUUGCUAGACUUUUUACACAUAUCUAGAUCAGGCUAGAUCCUAUCAUUCCUGGGGGGUCGCUUUGGGGCUGCAAGUGAUUCUGAGCCGUUAUUGGUAAUUUAAUGACUGAAGGUGAACGAAAGACGAAUGAAAUAGGAAAAAGCUAAAAUGGUCAAACCGAGAUAAUUGAGACGACAACUUGUACAAAGUUCGCACACACAAACGUGUUCUGUGUUGACCGGGUUGGUGCUGUUAACUCUGGACAGUGACAACCAAAAUCAGAAUCCAGUGCCUUGUGUUAAAAAUCUGUUCGUAUUACCCACACAAGCGCAGCACAAACCAGGCCGUUUUAACAGGCAGUGUUUACAAGGUUGAAGCUGCAUUUCUAUAUUUGCUUGAGAUGAGAUCAGAUGGCAGUUUACUGUGUACCUUUGCGAAACGAAGACAAGGAUCAGACCUGCACUUGUUUACAUCGUAAAUUUUGCUAACGAAGCAUUGGUGUUGAGCACACUCACAGAUCUUAAUGAAUUGAUGAGGUUACUAUGUUACAGUUAGUUAUUCACACAAAAAUAAACAUACCUUGGUCAUUAAGAAUUAUUCAGAACUUUAAUAGUGUUCUGAGUUCUUUGAAGACUGUUAGGUGCUCAACCACAAUAUGUAUCAGAAAAUCUCCACAUGAAGACAUUUAUAGUUGUAAUGCUGAGAUUGGCGUGCACAGUAAAUUACCCUGAAAAGAUAAGACUUGAAUUAAAAGCUUCAUCCUAGCAGUCAUGAAUCAUCCUUACCCAUCACAGUAGCAGCAGAAAACUUCACUGACGUUAUCACCUGUCACCAACAUCCAUACAACUUAAGCAUCUGGUGAAUCAUUUUGGCUUUGAAACAUCAACGUUCAGAAUUUGUUUGCUGUGUUUGAUAUUUGAUUGAUGCUGUUCAAAUGAAGGCAGAGGCUGUGUCCCAAUUUUGCAAAUUGCAUUUCAUACCCUCCUACCCCCCCCAAUUCUUGGGUAGUUUCCAAAAAGCAAAAAGUCCCAUUGUUUAUUUGUGUGAUCUGUACAUUAAAGAAACCUGCUCUCCCAUUCCAGUAUCAGUUUCAGAAGAAUUUUUGUCUGAACUUUGCAAUGCCACAAUAUAUUAGGAAACAACUUGAGGUGGCUAAAUGGAAAUGCCAACAAAUGCCAUCUUUAAAGAUGCUGGGUAUUAGGGCAUCACAAAAGUCCUUGUCCUUAUGGGAUGAAUUGAUAUUAGUUAAUGUAUCUCAGCAGAUACAUUGAUGUAGCCGAGAGGUAAUAGUUACAAGUGGGAGGAAUGGUUGAUGGAGAACCUUUCUGAAGUUGGGGCACAGCCUUCAGUCUAUGUUAAGUUUUAUGACUCUGGCCCUUUCUGGUGUCACUUUUCUUAGCUGUGGUUUCUUUCGCACAGCUCAAUCACAACCUUUAACACUCCCUGCCUCCUUAUUUUUGAUAAACGUCUGAUGAUUUUUUCAUAUAUUUAUAUAUCAAAGUUUUGAUAUAUACAUAAAGGAGGGGUUUCUCUUUUGUUUGUAGUGUGACCUUUACUUUCUCUGAAAGAGACCUGGCUAUUGACUGAAACUAACCUAAACGUUGAUUGAGAGGAAUUUAUUUUGUUGCAACUUGUGAAUCCAGACACUGUUAAGAGAAAAAUAAAUCUGAUUGGGUGAAACCCUG
Molecule: RNA transcript, 7137 nt
Organism: Alosa sapidissima (American shad)
Lineage: Eukaryota; Metazoa; Chordata; Actinopteri; Clupeiformes; Clupeidae
Gene: usp2b
Gene name: ubiquitin specific peptidase 2b
Exons: 14
Source: RefSeq, a predicted model, not a curated record